CCUACGGGUGGCAGCAGUCGAGAAUCAUUCACAAUGGGGGAAACCCUGAUGGUGCGACGCCGCGUGGGGGAAUGAAGGUCUUCGGAUUGUAAACCCCUGUCAUGUGGGAGCAAAUUAAAAAGAUAGUACCACAAGAGGAAGAGACGGCUAACUCUGUGCCAGCAGCCGCGGUAAUACAGAGGUCUCAAGCGUUGUUCGGAAUGACUGGGCGUAAGGCGUGCGUAGGCUGUUUCGUAAGUCGUGUGUGAAAGGCGCGGGCUCAACCCGCGGACGGCACAUGAUACUGCGAAACUAGAGUAAUGGAGGGGGAACCGGAAUUCUCGGUGUAGCAGUGAAAUGCGUAGAUAUCGAGAGGAACACUAGUGGCGAAGGCGGGUUCCUGGACAUUAACUGACGCUGAGGCACGAAGGCCAGGGGAGCGAAAGGGAUUAGAUACCCGAGUAGUC
RNAcentral lists this ribosomal RNA (446 nucleotides) under uncultured bacterium. RNAcentral's name for it is "partial 16S ribosomal RNA". It matches the Rfam family "Bacterial small subunit ribosomal RNA", at positions 338 to 795 of the family's 1533-position model. The record is from RNAcentral.